UAGAGACAGUGAUAUAGUUUGAUGCAGUUUGUUGUAAGAUUUCAUGUUGGUUUUCCUCCUGUCCUCCCCAAUUUUCUGAGUCACCAACAUUAUUCCAGCGUUACACAUUAUAUUAUUGAACAAUCAAGCCACAUUUAGCUAUAUUCAGUCCACAAUCAUUUUGGCACAGGUUAUACCAUUAUGAGCUCUUUUGUUGAGGUAACCAAACUAAUCACACUGAGUGCAUAUGUCUCCUCAGAGUCUGCCUUCAAUCAGUUCCAGCUGGACUGUUUGCUUUAGGCUGAAAAGCUACACGUAAUCAGUGUUUUUGUCAAAUUGAGACAUAAUUGUAAUCCUACUUGAUCUUAUAUUUUGCAUGUCUUAUUUUUAUUAUAUGCAUCUGGUUUUAGUGAGUUGCCCUGCAUGCUUUUUUUUUAUAUGGUUUUAAUUGGACUGAGUGCAUUGAACUCUAAGUGAUCAAGUGAUGGAUUAAGUGAGAACACCAGUGAGUGAUUGGAUGACACACACCCCUUCACUCAGGAGUAGCGGACUGGACUGAGUUCCUUCAUGUCUUUUUUGGCCGAGUGUGAGAGGUGAAGCAGGUGGAGAAGGAAGGAGAGACUUGGAGACACGGGGAAGCGACGGAUGUGAGAGGGUUCGCUCCACAGAAUAUCGGUUGCAGUUGGUCAUGGGAACCUGAGGACGGAGACUACUCGUUGAAACAGCGUGGAUACACCGGAGAAAAGGUGCAGCUGGGACGAGGAAGCAGACAGACCACAGCAGGACGAGCCAGGCGUCGAUGACCGAGACUUGGUUCAACGCGCACUAUUACGAUAACGGCUCCGUAUACAAAGUCCCGGAAGAAGGGGUGUGACUGGAGCAGAGGAGCCGACAGCUGCAGGACUUCCUCCGCUAUUUUAAUAACGUGGGCGCUGGACGGAAAAUGACAAAUUCGUCGGUCUUAAAAGAGACUUGCGCUGCACUUAGCCCCACUCUGCGCUGUGCGUAAGACAGGGCCCACAGUAUUAUACUUAGUCAUUCCAAUAUUUAUUUUGGUCUACCUAUGAGCACUUCCAUGUCCAUGAUGGACUACAGCUGUCUUUCUUAUCACUGUCAUAAUAUCCUCUCAAAUCCCACUGUUUAUUGUACUUGCUGUAAAAGUGUCCACCUGAGAUGCACACCUAUCAAUGAAUAUAAAUGAAUGGAGCGCUUGGACUUGUUCUAAGCAUGUCUCCAUAUUUCCUUAUCAUGACAUUGAUGGUGAUGAUGAUGACUUGAUUGGUCUUUUUUAUGGAGCUGUUUGACCCUGAUUCAAAAUUUUUUUAGCUCUUUGACUUCUGAGUGUUUAUCCUGUGACCAUUUCAGUAUUAAUGGAUUUAAUAGUUUAUUACUUGAUAUGCCAAAGCUCCGUUCAAAGUAGUUCUCAACUUUUCAUUUAAAUAUUUGUAGUCUCUCCAAAUUGUUGUUGGGAUUAAAUCAGUGCACUGUCA
Molecule: long non-coding RNA, 1469 nt
Organism: Thunnus maccoyii (southern bluefin tuna)
Lineage: Eukaryota; Metazoa; Chordata; Actinopteri; Scombriformes; Scombridae
Exons: 2
Source: RefSeq, a predicted model, not a curated record